CGCGUAGGCGGUGAUAUGAGUGUGAUGUGAAAGCCCCGGGCUUAACCUGGGAAGUGCAUCGCAAACGAUAUGACUAGAGUAUAUGAGAGGGUGGCGGAAUUUCCGGUGUAGCGGUGAAAUGCGUAGAGAUCGGAAGGAACGUCAAUGGCGAAGGCAGCCACCUGGCAUAAUACUGACGCUGAGGCGCGAAAGCGUGGGGAGCGAACAGGAUUAGAUACCCUGGUAGUCCACGCUGUAAACGAUGAGAACUAAAUGUUGGUUGGGGAACCAAUCGGUAUUGAAGCUAACGCGAUAAGUUCUCCGCCUGGGAAGUACGGCCGCAAGGUUGAA
RNAcentral lists this ribosomal RNA (330 nucleotides) under uncultured Aquicella sp. Its description in RNAcentral is "bacterial SSU rRNA". It matches the Rfam family "Bacterial small subunit ribosomal RNA", at positions 568 to 898 of the family's 1533-position model. The record is from RNAcentral. Lineage: Bacteria; Pseudomonadati; Pseudomonadota; Gammaproteobacteria; Legionellales; Coxiellaceae.